This 465-nucleotide ribosomal RNA is filed under the name uncultured bacterium. Its description in RNAcentral is "partial 16S ribosomal RNA". It matches the Rfam family "Bacterial small subunit ribosomal RNA", at positions 339 to 795 of the family's 1533-position model. The record is from RNAcentral.
CUACGGGACGCUCCAGUGGGGAAUAUUGCGCAAUGGGCGAAAGCCUGACGCAGCAACGCCGUGUGAGGGAUGAAGGCUUUCGGGUCGUAAACCUCUGUCGGAAGGGAAGAACGGGCAUUGGUCUAAUAGGCCUUUGUUUUGACGGUACCUUUAGAGGAAGCACCGGCUAACUCCGUGCCAGCAGCCGCGGUAAUACGGAGGGUGCAAGCGUUAUUCGGAAUUACUGGGCGUAAAGCGCACGUAGGCGGCCUUGUAAGUCAGGGGUGAAAUCCCACGGCUCAACCGUGGAACUGCCUUUGAAACUGCAGGGCUUGAAUCCUGGAGAGGGUGGCGGAAUUCCUGGUGUAGGGGUGAAAUCCGUAGAUAUCAGGAGGAACACCGGUGGCGAAGGCGGCCACCUGGACAGGCAUUGACGCUGAGGUGCGAAAGUGUGGGGAGCAAACAGGAUUAGAUACCCGAGUAGUC